UGUAUCGGCAAUACAACACCUGCAAUGUUUUGUAAAUUCAUUUUUUUAAAAUGAAUAGAGAGUUUUUUACUUAUAAGUAGUGAUUAGUGGAUUGUGUACAGUGCUGUGAUAUUUGUAAUGGAUGCAGAGAGCGAGUACGAAAUAAAGAGAGCUCGUGAUGCGAUUGAAAUGAUAGAGACUAUCCAGUCGAUGAUCGACGUUUCUGCUGAUAGACUUGAGGGUUUGAGGACGCAAUGCUCGACGAGCGCCGAGCUGACGCAGCAGGAGAUCCGGACCCUGGAGGGCAAGUUGGUGAAGCACUUCUCCCGUCAACUGGUGACGAAGGCGCGGUUUGGAGAGGAGCUGCAGAGGCAGUUAGCUGGCGUGCCGCGGCUGGCGCAAUGGCUGAGGGUCGUUGGACUCAGUCAGGAAUCCAUCGAGGCAAUAUGUUCGCGCGUGCCUUCCCUGGAGGCGCUGCGCGAGCGAUCAGACUACGAGUUACGAGCACUGCUGGCUGGAGCUAGGGAUGAGGAGCAACGGCGGCUAUGUCGCGCCAUGCAGCGGCUACGGGCCUACGCAGAAGCGCUAGCUCGCGGCGAGGCGGCAUCAGAGAUGCAGCUGUACUGGGACUCGUGGGAGAGGCACGGGCGCGGCUCGCCGCGGGCCCGCGCCCGCCAGCCGCGGACCUCGCUGCCCACCGACUCCGACUCCGCGCACUCUACCCCGCAGGGGAAGAAGGGCAGGGCGAGCGGGCCGGCCAGCCGCCGCCAGCCGCCGGCGCAGCUGCCCCCGCCGGCGGCGACGCUCACCAAGUCCCGCUCGCACGAGUCGCAGCUGUCCGUGCGCCCUGAUGCCUCCGACUUGAGCGACAACAGCCAGUCGUCAGCGGUGGGCACCUUAGAAGGCACCCCGCCCGCUUCGCCGCACGACACCGAACCCGAGACCACGCCACUACACCGACCAUCUAACAACGUGUCUCAUCAUAAUUCAUCAACAGCGUCGGCGACGAGCUCGAUAGCGAGCUCCGUCCCUGCGCCGCGCUCCCCGCGCACCCCCACCACGGUGGGGCGCUCCAUGGCCCACGACAUCGCGCACCGCUUCACCAAGACCUUCAACAUGAUCGCCACCUGUGACUACUGCGAGAAACAGAUGCUCUUCGGGUCCGGCUUGAAGUGUAAAGAGUGCAAGUUUAAAUGUCACAGGGAUUGCGAAACGAAAGUCCCUCCCUCCUGUGGCCUACCUAUAGGGUUCGUCAAUGCGUUUAAAGAGAAGAUCUAUAAAGAUGGUGGUGGUUAUUACGUGUCGUCGCCGGUGGCGGGGCGCGGCAGCUUCCUGUCGUCGCUGCGGGCGCCGCGGCGGCACCACGCGCCCCCGCAGCACAACUACCCGGGCCCGGACUCGUCGUCGACGACGUCCUCGUGCAACAGCUCGACGCCGUCGUCACCAGCCCUGUGCGCCCCCAACACGCCGCACCACCACCACCAUCUGCCCACCAAGCCGCAGUUCCACUUCCCAGAAGUAAAGCCGCCGGUGUCGAGCCCCAACCACGUGACGUCAGUGCAGUCCCCCAGAACGAUACCCGAGCAUAAAGAAGACCUCACGCCCAGUGUUAAAAGUGACAGUUCCCGAUGUGUGUCCCUGACGGGGUCGGGCUCCACUGACAGCGGCGGCGCGGUGCGCGCCGACUCGCUCGACCUCAGCAAUAAGGAUUCCAGAUGGCCGCGACAAAAUAGCUUAUCAAUGAAAGAAUGGGACAUCCCGUACGACGAGUUGAAACUGUUCGAGAUCAUCGGGCACGGGCGGUUUGGAACCGUGUACCGCGGCUCCUGGCACGGCGCAGUCGCCGUUAAGCUGUUACACAUGCACUCUCUCAGCGACGACGCGGUGCCGCUCGAGACCUUCAAGCACGAGGUGGCGACGUUCCGCAAGACGCGUCACGAGAACCUGGUGCUGUUCAUGGGCGCGUGCAUGAAGCCGCCGCGGCUGGCCAUCGUGACGUCACUGUGUAAGGGCAACACGCUCUACACGCUCAUACACCUGCGCAAGGACAAGUUCACCAACAACAAGAGCGUCAUCGUGGCGCAGCAGAUCUCACAGGGUAUGGGGUACCUGCACGCGCGCGGCAUCGUGCACAAGGACCUCAAGACCAAGAAUAUCUUCCUGGAGAACGGAAAGGUGGUCAUCACCGACUUCGGACUGUUCUCCGUCACCAAACUCUGCUUCGGAAACAACGCGCGCGGCGACAGCCUGGGCAUCCCCCCGGGCUGGCUGUGCUACCUGGCGCCCGAGCUGGUGCGGGCGCUGCGGCCGCACGCCUCGCUGCACCUGCCCUUCUCCAAGUCCACUGAUGUCUACGCCUUCGGCACGGUGUGGUAUGAGCUGCUGUGCGGCGAGUACCCGUUCAAGGGUCAGCCGCCCGAAGCCAUCAUCUGGCAGGUGGGCAAGGGCGUCAAACAGUCGCUGGCAAACAUGCAGGCCUCUAGAGAUAUUAAGGACAUUCUAAUGCAAUGCUGGUCGUACCGCUGGACGGAGCGGCCGGACUUCCCCCGUCUUCUCUCCACGCUGCAGAAGCUGCCCCGCAAGCGGCUGGCCCGCUCGCCUUCUCACCCCGUACACCUCUCGCGGUCAGCUGACUCCGUCUUCUGAGACCGGACCAACCUCGCGCUCUGUGUGCGGCCCUAGUGAUUGGUGAGUCUUCUAGGAUUGAAGGAAACAGAAGACGUGGAAAGACCUGGACUUUUGGAAUUACAAAUAAUAUAGAUGGUGUCAAACAAUGUGUAAUAUUGAUACAGGGCUAUAAGAAUUACUUUCUCCCUAGCGUUAUUCCGUUUUUACAGGGUCCGCUUGCCUAACCUGAAGAUUUGACAGGUUUUUUACAAAAGUGAUAACCUGUCUGACCUUAACCAGCGAAGGUUAAACCAGCUCGAUACAAGUUAGGUCACAUACCUUCGAAAUGCAUUUCUCGGGAAUAUGGGUUCCCUCACGAUGUAUUUCUUCUCCGCUGAUCACGUGAUGAACAUUUAUGAUCCAAACACCGAAAACAAAUUCGAAAAUCAAUGGAACCUGCGCUAUCACUGCUCUCACAGAGCUAUGACAAUUGACAUAGUAAAGUUUUCCGAAGAAAUUAGAAACUCUAUUUCUGAACUCGCAACCCCAUAACCUGCAGUGGACAGACGGAUUGGCAGUCUUCUGUAAAAUCUUCAGAUUAGGCAAGCGUAUCCUGUGAAAACGGAAUAAUGCAGUGUGCAUCUGUCGAUAUCAGAAAAAAAAUCUUAUUAUGUCUUGUAAGAACGUACCUUGAAGAGGUCGAUGUAAACCGUCAUUCGUCAUUUCAUUAGUGCUCUGAUGGCUCAAGAACAUUGUAACUCUGUUAUUUAAAAUUUAUUAACCUCCUUCUUUUUGAAGUCGGUUAAAAACAGAAGACGCACGGCGAUACUAUAAAGUAUCUUAAAAGUAUAAAGUAACUUUUUUCGGAUUUUCAAAUUCCGAAUACACGAUAAUUCUAGUAAUUGAUGAACAUGGAAAUUAUCACUCGUUUGUUUUAAGAAAUGCGAUGAUAGCUGAUAGUCAUGAAAUAGAAACACUGUACAGUCAUGAGUCAUGUAGUAAUCAUGUACCCACUUUAGUACCCUGUCGAACUGUCAUAUUUGACAUUUAAUGAGACUUACGGUUUAAUUUGUCAAAAAAGUUCAUGUGACAAGGUAUCAAAGUGUAAACAUAUUAGUACUCGCGACCGUACAUGAUCUAUGUCAGACGAAAAACAAAUUGGGAAAACUAUUUAUCCGUCUUCCUUUGAAUGUGUUCAAAAACCUACGCCUUUAAUAUUAGUUACACGUAGGGAAUGCAAUCCCGACUCGAGAUUGCAAAUUCGAGAUCCCGCGGGAUUGGAAAUAUCAAUCCCGCGGGAUCCCGAAAUUUUCGGGAUCUCGUCUAGUUCAUAAAAAAAUGUAAAGCAAAGAUAGCUGAAAACAAUGAAAACUGCUUGUUUGUGAUAGUGAGGUUAAAUAAAACUAAAUAUUUUUUUAAAGAAAACAAAAACCUUUAUUGUUCAAUAUUACUUACUAAAUAACUUAAGUUUUCUUUGGAAAUCAGCAUAAUCAAAACAAAAAGUAUAACUUAAGGAGAUUAGAAAGUAGUUACGGGUGAUUUUGAAAGUAGCUACGUAAAAAACAAAGCUACCAACGUAAAAAGACUACUGAACGGGUACUCGCCUAAUCCCACCAGUCUCGAACUUGGAACGGGAUCUUUCGAACUCUCGAACGGGAUCUUGUCAUAUUAUGCUUCGGGAUUAAUCCCGACAUAUUAGAGAUCUCGCAUGAUCGGGAUCCCGCGAGAUCGGGAUUGCAUUCCCUAGUUACAAGCUUGACAAAUAAGUAUAUUCAGUAUAGUAUUUUUUUGUGACUCAAGUUAUUUUUUGUUUAGUUCACUUUGUCUAUGGUAAGAUGUGACCAUAGAGUAAAUGCGUUGUUUAUUAUUGUUUUAAAAAGGAACUGGGGUUUAAAAAGACCACACUGAAGCAAUUCAUCUGUUGACAUUACGCACCUACUUUUUUAUGCGCAAUUGUCAAAUUGCAAUAUUGCUUAUUAAAUGAAUUGCUUCAAUGUGGCCAUUUAGAUCUCCAGUUGUCUUCUGUCUUUGUUCAUAGGGUAGUUUCCAACUAGUCAAAUCGAUUACUUUUUACUAAACUUCAAAGGACAAAAUUACUACGGAAUUUGUAUGAACAAGUUUUGCAUUGUUGUGCUGACUGUUGUGUGGUUUUCUUUGAUAUCGUACAUUUUUUGCCACUGCAAAAUAACAAGAAACGACGCAAUAACUCAAAUAGUAAAAGUAUUGUUUGUCUCGUGAAAGUCAUAGUGAGCGUUCAACAUGUCUGAAGAACCGCAAAAUAAUGGCAACGGCGAUAAUGGCGAAAAAGAACAAAGGCCAAACGGUGCUGGUGAUGAAGGCGACGCUUGGGGAAGCCACGAUUCCUCAUCGAUCCGUCGCUACGCUAAAAUGCACUGUGGGACGCCGGAGUUGUGGAGUUAAAUAAGAGACGUGUGUCUUCUAAGACGGUCGUUUAUUGUCUGUCUAUGGAUAAUGACAUAUAAUAUAGAUAUGUAUAUUACAUGGGUGUGGAGGUACACACUACACUGUGAUGUCAUAGAAAAACGUGACAAAAUGUCGCACUUCAUAAACAAGUUUCGUAAAUCUGUCUUUCAGAAUUUUAUAAUUUAUCAUUGACCUAGGAAACUACCCAAUUCGUAAUAUAUUUAUUUGAUGUGGCGAAGUGUUCCCAAUUUGUGCAAUGUUUAAUCUAUUUGGUAAUUACUGACAGAUGAACUGUUGAUUUUUUAUUUAAUCAUUUAUAAUAUUGACCAGUGAUUGUACUGAACCAGGAACGGAGAACUAUAAUAGCUCUGGAGACUACUAUAAAAUGUUAUUUUUUUUCUUAUAACGAUGCUCUCAAGGGCCUAGCCCCUCUGUCAGUUUCAUCGAAAUCAAACACAGAAUAUACCAAUUCAUUAAACCUCUUUAUAAAAUUGUUAUAAGCAAAUAUAUAUAUUGCUGCUGAUUUCAGUACACACCACCUAAUUUUAUUUUUAGUUAUACCUGUCAUUUUCUUAUCCGCCGAAAACGAAAGGGACGAGUAAUCGACAAGCAUAAAAUUUAUGGAACACACGUCAAAUUUCAGCAAAUUUUAAGCACAAAUCUAAAACAGCCCUAUAAAAAUUUUGUUUUAGCUAAUAACCGACUGGAUUAAGUUGACAGCACAUGUCAAACGGUUUGCAUACCAGCGAAUACGUUUUUGAUUCGGCCGGGUUAUUCAUUCAUUUACUCAUUCUUCCUAAAAUUAAGAGCUGUCAAUCAUCCGUCUCUUUCCUUUUCGGUGGAUAAGAAAAUGACAGGUAUAACUUAAAGUAACAUUAGGAGGUGUUUGCAGGAAUCGGGGCCAUUGUAUUCUACAUAGCUAGGUAUAAUCCGCGGCGUAUAAGUUGAACAAUGACCUUGAAUGCGCAGUGAGAAAUUAUUGGGUCUCAAUCGAAGUGCGGUAUGAAGCGGGACGCGAGAGGUACCACGUAACCAUGACAACCAAUGAUGCUACAGACCGCCAUAUUUGUUCGAUGAGCAGUUUUCCAGUUAGUUCCAUCGUUAUACAGAGAUGGCGUACACGUCACUUUAGGAAAACUGUGUACGGCAUUAUAUUUAAAUUUCACAUAUUCAAGGGAGGUUAUCCGAUAUUAUAGUCGUUAGACAUAAUGUCUUUUUAAAAUCCCAUUUUUAAGGAAUCUUCUCAAUUAUUAAGGAAACCUCGGCCGCAACAGAAUAAAGUAAGAUAGAAAGAAAUAAAGCAUUUAUUAUAUUAAAGGACGCCACAGUAACAAUACAAACACAGUAGGAAAAAAAUUUACACAAAAUCACAUAUUAACAGAAACGUAAAAGGAACAGAAAAAUAAUAAUAAAAUACAAAAUAUUGGUGCUAACAGUAAUGUGGCGGUGUAAAGUAAUAAUUUAACUAUUUAUAAGUAGUAUUUCUUUCUUAUUAAAAAAAAUAUUUUUGUUUUUUUUUUAUUAUAGCGAAUGAUGUAUACGUAAAUAAACUGACUGUUUCGUUUUGUUUUCUUUUAUUUGGUUGAAUAAACUUUUAAAAACGAUUUGAGCGCCAUCUCUUGUUAUUGAAAGAACUAAAAUUACUGUAGAAAACUCAAUCAAGUUUUGUUUGAGGUUUACGCUCAUUCAAGUUAUACAUUGUUUGAGUUUUACGCUCAUUCAAGUUAUACAUUGUUUGAGUUUUACGCUCAUUCAAGUUAUACAUUGUUUGAGGUUUACGCUCAUUGAAGUUAUACGAGUACGCCGCGGAUUACAUCAGAUAUUUGCAUUAGCCCUAGCGAUAUAAAACACCCAGAUGUAUUCUAGUAUAUGCAUAAACUGUGUAAAAUAACAAUUUGUAAGUAUGUUAAUACAACUGUAUAUUACUGUAAGUAAACUUGAUCUCCGAAUAAUCGAUAGAUUAAAUUAUAUUUUUGGUAUUAAAGUGGUGUUGACUGCUUGUUGGUUUGUAAAUAGUGUACAGUGUUGUUCUGUGAGUGAUGCGAGGCGAUGUGGUGGUUGAUCAUGGUUGGUUUUAAAGUAUUAAAACCUCAGUUGAUUUUCAAAGUCCGGACUUUCUGCUUUUUAUCUCGCUUUUUCAUCGCCAAAGAGUUUUCACCACAUAACAUAAGCGACUAUAUCAUAAUUAGGCUCAGAGGUACAUCGCAAGAUGAACUAAGUACCCGCACCUCACCGAGCUUUCUAUUAGACCAACGUGAUAGGUGAGCCGUAUCGCCGUCUAUAAUGGAGCCAACUAUGUUAGUGAAAACUGCGAUUUUUUUUACCACGACGAUAGAAAGGAGAUUGGCCCAAAGGGGUCCAAAUGUCUGUCAGUGUAUUUUUGACUGCGGUUUGGUAUUUAUUACUCAGUAUUUAGUGGUCUAUUUCGCUAAAUAAGUCUCGUUAAUGGAGGAUAUUUGGACCAAGUUCCAUACAACUUUGGUCAAUCUUCUUUGCUUUUAAUGUCGCGUGCGUUAUUUAUCUAAAAUGUCCGGCUUGAAGUCAGGAUGUGUAUUAACUUUAAAAGCAUAUUCUAAUGUGCCUUCGAAUAAAAAAUAUACCCUUCUAUUAUUUGUCACUUCUGUUACUAUUUAACUAAUUUUAAUUGAUGGUUGUAUUGUAAAGUGUACAGAUAGUGUAAAUAGAUAAAUAAAUAAAAAAAAAAUAACCAAUAUGAUCAAACACCACACAAGUCUGUGAGAACUCAAUUAUAACUAGUUAAGAGUUGAAAUUCCGAUUGAAAUGUUCUGUUUUCUUUUUAAUUAUGUACUAUAAAAUUUGACAUUUUGUGCUAAAAGUAACCUUAACAUAUUGUUCUGUUCAUUUUAAACGUAACUCGCUUAAAAAUUCGUUUCUCUGUGCGUAUACUACUCAAAAAUAAUAAUGGCGUUUGUAAAACAUAAUAUAAGCUCAUAUAUCGCAAUUGGGGUAGUCAGAGGUACAUCCAUCGCAAGGUGAAGUACCUACACUACACGCUUUCAGUUAGACCAACAUGUGAAAAAAAAAAACGACUUGCAUUUUAAGCAGCAUCAUUAUACAUAAACUCUCGCUCAGUGGAUUGGACAGACAAACAAGUAAUCAAAUACAACUUGGAGCCACUGUUGGUACGAAGUCUUUAGAUGGAUAUGAUGAACCUUAACAGCAUUAGAAAGUCAUAAUAAUCUUAAUUUGUAGAUUGACAGGUUUAUUUAUAAAAAUACAUUGUUAAUAAUAACACAAUUAACAGAGCAUAGUACCCCGCUAGGCUCCGGACACAGGUUGGCCGCUGCAAGGAUUAUCUCUGCAGGUGGGGAUAUCUGGUUGAUGGUUGCGAUGAUUGCGAGUGUGGAGUAUCACCACAAACUAUGGCUCACUUUUUGUGCUGUCCUAAGUGCCCUAACACCUGCACUAUUAAAGACCUUCACGAAGCCACUGACAAUGCAGUAAGCGUAAUUAUUGGUCAGCAAAAAUUUAGUAUCGAUCGCCAUCGACUCGCAAAAAAGACCCCGAUAGACAAAAGUUGGUAGUGUGACCAGGGAUCAACGACCCGACGGUGUUAUGUCGGAAGUUGUAUGUAUGCGUCGCGCUGUGUAAACUUCGUUAGCGCGUUCUAGGACUGUAUUAAACGACGUGCGCGCCAUCUGUUGGUAAUGGGCGGAACUAGCUGGUCAACUAGUUGGGACCGCCGCAACGCUAAACAGUAUCCGUUUAAUUUUUGGGUAGUAUAUAAUACAUAAAUAAAUGAUUGGACUAGUUAAAAUUUCAACUUGACUACAGGGAAUAUUGUUGAGAAUAAAAUUUUAUAAAUUAUAUUCAGUGAAUGACGAUUCUUGAGUGAGUUGAAGAACGAUGGAUUCAUGUUGUUUACUGUUGACUACUUAAUGUGUUUGAUUAUUUAUGUAUUUAUUAUAAUUGCGACUUGCAAUAUUUACUAACACUAUGGUUGAAUCGUCAGGAUAUAUCUGCGGUUACUACAUUACAUUACUCUGUCCAUCGUGUUAGAUGCGUCAAGGUCACGCGUGGUUACUAUGGUUACUCCCCAACUCGCUCGAGAUCGUGGUUACCAUGGUUACGCCCCGUCGAUUUGCUAUUAGACUCGACGAUCUGAUCGGCAAAUCCGUGACCUUGACGCAUCUAGCCCUGUGGACAGGGCAAUGUAACCGCUUAUCUACCAACAGGUAGUUAUUUUUCUAUGGUUUGAAUGCUGCAUAAAAUGUUUACUAUACACUUCUCAUAAAAAAAAACCUCGCAGUUUAUAUUUCGCAAGGAUUAUCAGAAAAAUAUUCAAUACGAGUAUUAUAUACAAAAAUAAAUGUCACUUUAGCGUUUCUUUUUUUUAUGAGAAGUGUACUUUUCUAAUCAGCAUUAAUGAAGUAAUGAGGUAUAUUAAUGUGCAUCCAACUAUAAUGCACGUUGCACACAGCCGGGAACGCGGGACAAGCGGCUCGCAAACAAAAUCCGGGGCUGGCCUAGACUGAGACCUGAAACCCGUCCGGGAAAUCAAAUUCAAAAACAUCUUUAAUCAGUUACACUUUGAAUCGUCAAUUUUUACAUAACGUCUAAAACUACUGCAACUUCGACACAGGGCCCUUGACGUUCUUAAAACAUUCGAAAGACAACUAUCUGGUGAUAGCUAACCAGGCGGCCUCUUGGCGUCGGGCUUCCCUCAUUGAGAGUCCUCAGCGCUCCCCAUUUGUCCGGCCAAGUAGUUUAUGCCAUCUGGCAUCUCGUUCACGUGUGCCGUGAACAUAAUUCUGUCGGGUUAUUGACCAAUGUAAAAUUUUUGUAGAAUUGUUUUAGAUUUCUGCUUAAAAUUGAUGUGUUCCAUAAAUUUUAUGCCUGUCGAUUAUCCGUCCCUUUCCUUUUCGGCGGAUAAGAUAGUGACAGGUAUAACUUAGAAUAAAAUAGGCUAGUUUCGAACUAGUCAAAUCAGCUACUUUUUAUUAAACGUAAAAACACAAAAUUACUAUGGAAUUUGUAUGAAAAAGCACACUGUGACGUCAUAAAAAAACGUGAUAAAAUGUCGGACUUAUUAUUACAUUUUUCUUUAUUAAAAUUCAUAAAUAAGUUAAAUAGAAAAAAUAAAAUGUUUUUCGUUAGUUUUAGAUCUAUCUUUAUCUGGUAUUCAGAAUUUCAUAAUUUAUCUUGAACCUAGUACAGUCUUGAGCAAUAUAAUGUACCCACUUUAGGACUCUGUCGCACUAACAUAUUUGACAUUUAGUGAGACUUACAGUUAAAUUUGUCAAAAAAAAUAAUGUGACAUGGUACCAAAGUGUAAACAUAUUAAUGCUCGUGACUGUACACGACCCAAUUAGAUGGUGUCUGCAGUAAUUAGCACCAAUGAGGUUUAGGUUUUAAAAAGAUAUUCGGUCUUGCGACUCUAUGGCUAGUUCGGGACUAAGCCGGGGUUAUUUACCGCUGAUCGCAGUCCCGGCUCCGUGUAUCCAAGUUAAAUGUUUUUGUAAAUAAAGCAACAUUCCUAUCGGUUGAAAAUAUUUCGCUCGAUAGUUACUAUUACGAAUUGUAAGUACAUUUGUUUGUAAAUCUUGAAGUUACCACGUUCUAAUGUUUCUGAAGAGGCUUUAUAAGGGGUUGCCGUUGCACUGAUAAAAAAAAUAAUAUUGGCGAGUCUUUACGUGACCCCCGCUUAAAUAUAGGGCUGGCUGGUUUUCAAAUGAAGUUUUAUAAAUUAAAUAAAUUACCGAAUAAAUAUCGUCUAAAAAGAUUCAACAUUCACUUGACAACCAGCCACAUUUUCAUCAUUAAAAAAAACACAUAAAUUCAUUUCAUAUUAAAAAAAAAAUAUAAAAUUUCAAAUUCUAACAGCUCACCUUGUUAAGUUAUUGUUUACUAAAUUAUUGUUAAAUAAUAAAGGAAAUUAUUCUGGUCACUCAACUCCUAUUAAAGUAAUAGUUAGUUGUUGUAAAUUAAUAAAUGCUUCAGACGAGAGACUGUCUCGUGAGGUUUGCAAGAUGGUAUUGAAAUGUUUAGAUUUAUUUACUUUAUUAAAUCGCAGUAUUAACUUAACCUUUUGACAGAAGUUUUAUUAUGUAUGAUUAUUUUUAUUGACAUAACUUAUAUAAUUGGUUAUUUUAUUAAGUGUUAUGUAAGAUACCUACUUAACACUUUCACGGACAGAAAGUCUACGGGUGAUGUACCAGUGACCGUGAAAGUGUUAACGUUAUUUAGAGUUGCUACUUUGGUAGGCAGUACUAUUGCAAAUACAUAUUGGCCCCGAUUCCUGCAGACAUCUCUUAAUUUUACUUUAAGUUAUACACUUAUACCUGUCAUUUUCUUAUCCGCCGAAAAGGAAAGGGACGGAUGAUUGACAGCUCUUAAUUUUAGGAAGAAUGAGUAAAUAAAUGAAUAACCCGGGCGAAUUUUUAGACGGUUGUUUUAGAUUUGUGCUUAAAAUUGACGUGUGUUCCAUAAAUUUUAUGCUUGUCGAUUACCCGUCCCUUUCCUUUUCGGCGGAUAAGAAAAUGACAGAUAUAACCUAAAAUAAAAUUGGAUGGUAUUUACAGGAAUUAGCACCAUUGUAACAUUUAUUUGAAUCUAUAAUGCAAUAGGCUAGUUUCCAACUAGUCAAAUCAGUUACUUUUUACUAAACGUCAAAAUACGAAAUUACUAUGGAAUUUGUAUGAAAAAUGUGACAAAAUGUCGCAGUUACGUUUUUCUUUCUAAAUAAGUUAAAUAGAAAAUGUUUUUUGUCACCUUUAGAUCUGUUUUUAUUUAGUAAUAAUCAGAAUUUCAUAAUUUAUCUUUGACCUUAGAAACUGCCCAAUUCUCAAUUUACUUAUGCAACAACUCAGCAUAUAAGUGUAUUAUUAUAUAACAGGGUGUCUAAAAAGGCCACAUUGAAGCAAUUCAUAUAAAAAAGCAAUACUGGAAUUUGACAUUUGCGCAUGUAAAAGUAAGUGCGCAAUGCAAAGAAAUGGCAAAAUUGCUUUCUUAGAUGAAUUGCUUCGAUAUGGCCAUUUUAACCCCCCAGUUCUUCAAUGCCAUCUAGCAAGCCUUGGUUCUGACGACUGCUAGGAAGUGAGUGAAGCCAUGUUGUGUAUAUAGGGAGCGGCUUAUCCUUUGUAUAAAAAUUAUAAAUAUUUAUUCAAUAGGUACAGGCGAGGUCGCAGUUAGUUCUAGUUUUGCAUAUGUAUUGAGAUUUCGAAAUGACUAGGUUAGUUGCAUUUGCCAAAAUAAAUCUCACAUCACUGUUAA
Molecule: unclassified non-coding RNA, 12243 nt
Filed under: Pectinophora gossypiella (pink bollworm)
Lineage: Eukaryota; Metazoa; Arthropoda; Insecta; Lepidoptera; Gelechiidae
Description: kinase suppressor of Ras 2
Source: RNAcentral